RNAcentral lists this ribosomal RNA (436 nucleotides) under Siphonaria sp. UF 301147. RNAcentral's name for it is "partial 16S ribosomal RNA". It matches the Rfam family "Bacterial large subunit ribosomal RNA", at positions 1828 to 2596 of the family's 2925-position model. The record is from RNAcentral. RNAcentral also lists the same sequence under 1 other name. Lineage: Eukaryota; Metazoa; Mollusca; Gastropoda; Siphonariida; Siphonariidae.
AGUCUGCGGGAAUUGAUCGUAGAUAAAUUCUGCCCACUGUUUUUAAUAAAGGGCCGCAGAACUUUAACUGUGCUAAGGUAGCGUGAUAGUUUGUCUUUUAAAUGGAGACUGUAUGAAAGGGAAUUCGUGGUACAGCUGUCUCAUCAGGAUUUUUUAGAAUUUAUUAAAUAGGUGCAAAUACCUAUAAAGCGACAAAAGACGAGAAGACCCUGAGAGUUUUAACGAAAAAAAGUGAGUCUUUUUUAGUUUUUGUUGGGGCAACAAAGGAACAAUUAAUAACCUCCUUUAAUUAUUAACCUGCUCCCUUUGGGAGAAAGAAAAAACUACCUCAGGGAUAACAGCAUUAUUUUUUAAAAAGUUUGUGACCUCGAUGUUGGACUAGGGAAAAUAAGGUUUAGAAGAUCUUUUUUUUUGCUCUGUUCGAGCUUAAUCCCCU